AAGCUGUUUUCUCAACUCAAGCCUGGAUCUGACUGGCUGCUGGUCCCGCAAUCUGCUCGCUUCUACAAACAAAACAUCCAAAUAAAAAAGUGACAACAGGAGCUGAAACCGGCUUAGAACGUGAACGAUGAACUCUACGGUUGAUGCCCACUGACAGAAGCUACAGCAUGAUGUAAAA
Cimex lectularius (bed bug) is the source of this 178-nucleotide long non-coding RNA. RefSeq lists it as uncharacterized. The record is from RefSeq and is a predicted model, not a curated record. Lineage: Eukaryota; Metazoa; Arthropoda; Insecta; Hemiptera; Cimicidae. The transcript is spliced from 2 exons.